GCCGGGCGUGGUGGUGCAUGCCCAUAAUCCCAUCAACUCUGGAGGCUGUGGCAGGAGGAUCGCGAGUUCAAAGCCAGCCUCAGCAACUU
Molecule: small RNA, 89 nt
Filed under: Marmota monax (woodchuck)
Lineage: Eukaryota; Metazoa; Chordata; Mammalia; Rodentia; Sciuridae
Source: RNAcentral